CGCGUGGGUAACCUGCCUUAUACUGGGGGAUAACAGCCAGAAAUGGCUGCUAAUACCGCAUAAGCGCACAGAACCGCAUGGUUCCGUGUGAAAAACUCCGGUGGUAUAAGAUGGACCCGCGUUGGAUUAGCUAGUUGGCAGGGCAGCGGCCUACCAAGGCGACGAUCCAUAACCGGCCUGAGAGGGUGAACGGCCACAUUGGGACUGAGACACGGCCCAGACUCCUACGGGAGGCAGCAGUGGGGAAUAUUGCACAAUGGGGGAAACCCUGAUGCAGCGACGCCGCGUGAAGGAAGAAGUAUCUCGGUAUGUAAACUUCUAUCAGCAGGGAAGAUAAUGACGGUACCUGACUAAGAAGCCCCGGCUAACUACGUGCCAGCAGCCGCGGUAAUACGUAGGGGGCAAGCGUUAUCCGGAUUUACUGGGUGUAAAGGGAGCGUAGACGGCGCAUCAAGUCUGAUGUGAAAGGCAGGGGCUUAACCCCUGGACUGCAUUGGAAACUGCUGUGCUUGAGUGCCGGAGGGGUAAGCGGAAUUCCUAGUGUAGCGGUGAAAUGCGUAGAUAUUAGGAGGAACA
RNAcentral lists this ribosomal RNA (576 nucleotides) under uncultured bacterium. RNAcentral's name for it is "bacterial SSU rRNA". It matches the Rfam family "Bacterial small subunit ribosomal RNA", at positions 114 to 708 of the family's 1533-position model. The record is from RNAcentral.